This 501-nucleotide ribosomal RNA is filed under the name uncultured bacterium. RNAcentral's name for it is "partial 16S ribosomal RNA". It matches the Rfam family "Bacterial small subunit ribosomal RNA", at positions 30 to 523 of the family's 1533-position model. The record is from RNAcentral.
AUUGAACGCUGGCGGCAGGCUUAACACAUGCAAGUCGAGCGGAGCGAGGGUGCUUGCACCUUAGCUUAGCGGCGGACGGGUGAGUAAUGCUUAGGAAUCUGCCUAUUAGUGGGGGACAACAUUCCGAAAGGAAUGCUAAUACCGCAUACGCCCUACGGGGGAAAGCAGGGGAUCUUCGGACCUUGCGCUAAUAGAUGAGCCUAAGUCGGAUUAGCUAGUUGGUGGGGUAAAGGCCUACCAAGGCGACGAUCUGUAGCGGGUCUGAGAGGAUGAUCCUGCUAACUGGGACUGAGACACGGCCCAGACUCCUACGGGGGGCAGCAGUGGGGAAUAUUGGACAAUGGGCGGAAGCCUGAUCCAGCCAUGCCGCGUGUGUGAAGAAGGCCUUUUGGUUGUAAAGCACUUUAAGCGAGGAGGAGGCUACUUAGAUUAAUACUCUAGGAUAGUGGACGUUACUCGCAGAAUAAGCACCGGCUAACUCUGUGCCAGCCGCCGCCGUAA